UACGUAGGUGGCAAGCGUUGUCCGGAAUUAUUGGGCGUAAAGCGCGCGCAGGCGGUCUUUUAAGUCUGAUGUGAAAGCCCACGGCUCAACCGUGGAGGGUCAUUGGAAACUGGGGGACUUGAGUACAGAAGAGGAAAGCGGAAUUCCACGUGUAGCGGUGAAAUGCGUAGAGAUGUGGAGGAACACCAGUGGCGAAGGCGGCUUUCUGGUCUGUAACUGACGCUGAGGCGCGAAAGCGUGGGGAGCAAACAGG
RNAcentral lists this ribosomal RNA (253 nucleotides) under uncultured bacterium. RNAcentral's name for it is "partial 16S ribosomal RNA". It matches the Rfam family "Bacterial small subunit ribosomal RNA", at positions 524 to 776 of the family's 1533-position model. The record is from RNAcentral.